Molecule: ribosomal RNA, 438 nt
Filed under: uncultured bacterium
Lineage: Bacteria
Description: bacterial SSU rRNA
Rfam family: Bacterial small subunit ribosomal RNA
Source: RNAcentral
GCAGAACGCGAAGAACCUUACCUGGGCUCGAACGGCGGACGACGUCUCUUAGAAAUAGGAGAGUUUCCUUCGGGAACGGCCGUCGAGGUGCUGCAUGGCUGUCGUCAGCUCGUGUCGUGAGAUGUUGGGUUAAGUCCCGCAACGAGCGCAACCCUUGUCCUGUGUUGCUAAUCUUCGGAUGCACUCUCAGGAGACCGCCAGCGACAAGCUGGAGGAAGGUGGGGAUGAUGUCAAGUCAGCAUGGCCUUUAUGUCCAGGGCUACACACGUGCUACAAUGGGCAGGACAGACCGUUGCAAACCCGCGAGGGGGAGCUAAUCGGAGAAACCUGUUCUCAGUUCGGAUUGCAGGCUGCAACUCGCCUGCAUGAAACUGGAAUCGCUAGUAAUGGCAGAUCAGCAUGCUGCCGUGAAUACGUUCCCGGGUCUUGUACACACCG